This 2927-nucleotide unclassified non-coding RNA is filed under the name Agrilus planipennis (emerald ash borer). RNAcentral's name for it is "uncharacterized LOC108734398, transcript variant X5". Lineage: Eukaryota; Metazoa; Arthropoda; Insecta; Coleoptera; Buprestidae. The record is from RNAcentral.
UACGAUGGCCAAAGUACUAUAACGGAGGGGCUUCGAACUGCCCUGGCCCGACUGCGACAAAAAUCCACCCCCGGUAGCCAGUCGUCCCCCCUCCACCAACCCGCUAACUCCCAGCCUGAUAGUGCCAACCCGUCCGAAAACUGCUCCCCUAGCAGUAGCCCCAGUCCUCGCCCUAGAAUGACCAUAAACUCGCAGUCGGGCCCAAGAUCUACCCGACCUUCCGAGGACUUGAUCACAACGGCUACUUCAGCGCUUAGAAGGCUACAUUUCAAGACUGGCCGGGGAAUUACCAAAACGAAUGCCAAAACGCAGGCCCAAACGCCGGUUCCGAAGGUGGUCCUGAUGGGCUCCAGCACGGCUUCAGAGACAACCAUUAAUACCAGCACUGACAGUUCCAACACCAUGAUUACAACCAUGACCGCAACCGACGGCGAAACAACCGAUUGUCAUGACAGCCUUGAGAUAAAUGAUUCUUUCGACAUAUUAAAUUUAGAUAACAACCAGCUGGAAGGUGGUAACGCUGAGAGAGGCGCGCAUUGUAUCAUUCCCGUGACAAUGUCCCCGAAAACACCUACAACCGUCAAACAUGAGCGUCAAUUUACGUUCGACGUCAUGAACGUCACGGCGACGACGCCGCAAACUGCAUGCUGCAAGAAGAACGACACCUUCGUGUUUGAUACGCUGCUCCAAAAUGACGAAAUUUGUAUGCAAGAAGAAAAGAGUGUUGAAAAGCUUAUGGAAGAACAUAAACAUGAGGUAAAACAACCUAGCGAAUAUAAACCAGUUAAAAAUGAUGCGGAAAUGUUUCGUCCAUUGGAGGACGUCAAUUCUCGAACUAUCAGCAAUUCGAAGGACAUGCUCCGGGGGUCCAGUUCCGAGGAGAGUAAAAGCUCAACGACGACAAAAGCAGAGUCGGACGGCGGUCGAAGUUCUUCGAGCAGUCGGACUCAAAGUACAAUUCGCGUAAAACCGCGUAGAUCAAUGUCUGUAGACAAAACGGGGCACGAUUACAGGCUCGAAGUAAAGUCCACCGUUUCUUUGGACCGAGGAGGAAAUCAGACGGGUACACCUCGAACGAAACACCGGCACAAAAAGCGACAUCAUUCUUCCUCCGCAAAGAACAAAGUUGACAGAUUCACUUACGAUGAAAAGCACAUUAGCAAAUACAGGGAACAAGCCAGAAUGACACCCCCUCUUCCAGAUCUUCGAAUAGAUUUUUUUAACGAAUCAGCCGAAACUACAGGCUCCAACCUUCGAGAUUCCCUUUUGAUCCCUAUAUCCCACGAGAAACGCGGAAGUGUAUGCCUGAACAAGUGCAUACGAGAUGUCGGAGCUCAGUUGGAAUCUUCGUCCACCAUAAAUGUUACCACAAAUCCCUUGGAAAAUUCUGUACGUUUUGGUACCACUACGGGAGCGAAUUCCCGAGGAACCAGGCAGCCCCAGGCUACCAUCGUAGUUCAGCAGCCUUCCGUUAGUCUCGACCAUUCGGGAGUGUCUACCAUCCUUCUUAAAAAUGGAAGCGAUUUCGUUUCGAACGUGGAAACUACCAGCAAAGUUAAAGAAGAAAAUGUCAAACAACUUUUGGAUGUUAGUAACAACUUAACCAUGGAGGAAAUACAUGACUUUGAAAUGAGGUAUGGGAGUCCCCAUCACAGCCGUUCUCAAUCAGUUAAAACUCCAGGAAGAUCAUCCGGUCGUCCAAAUUACCUGUGUCUUCCACAACAAAGGUCGAGGGUAGCGUCAAUGCCAAACACAGGGGUGGAAGAAGAAUACUACCGUCUCAGACACUUUUCAAUUACUGGGAAAGGAAUUGUCAAUAGAGGAGACAGUUUGAAAAGCAGGAGAUCUCGUUCAAACAAUUCCGUAGCUUCAAGUAACUCAAGUACUGAACAACUACCAACGGCUGUUUCGGCGACGGGUUCGUGUCGCACUUCGGCUUCUUGUAGUUUGGCUUCCUCCAGAGAAUCUUCGACAAGUGCACCAGGUCCCACCCCAUACAAAGUGUUGAUGCUUGGAGGACCAGCUGUCGGGAAAUCUUCCCUUGUCUCCCAGUUCAUGACAUCGGAAUAUCUUCAUGCAUAUGACACAAGCAUAGAUGACGAAAGUGGGGAAAAAUCUGUAUCUGUUUUGUUGGCUGGUGAAGAAUCUGAAUUAAUAUUUAUCGAUUUUGCGACAGCUGAUUUAUCGCCCGAAAGUUGCAUCAAUAAAUACCAAGAUCCCCAUGCAUACUGCGUGGUAUAUUCCAGCGCGGACAGGUCAAGUCUCGUGUGUGCCGAACGAAUACUUCAGACACUUUGGAUGAUGGACAAUAUUAGUACGAAGGCUGUUAUUUUAGUCGCAAACAAGGCUGACCUUGUCCGGUCAAGGGUUGUAUCAACAGAAGAAGGAAAGUCAGUGGCAACAAAUUUCGAAUGCAAAUACAUAGAAACUUCGGUAGGAAUUAACCACAACGUUGACGAAUUAUUGGUAGGAAUUUUGACCCAGAUUCGUCUAAAAUUGGAAAAUCCUGAAAGGACAAGGGACAUAUUCCGGAAAAGGAGUUCGUCGCGCAAAAACUUCAGUAGAAAUAAGUCGCCCGUUUCGGGAAGCAGCACACCUACCGGUAGCGCACAAAACUCUCCCAAAAAGUACAGGGGCUCCAGGACGUCCGCCAGUCUUAAAGUCCGAAGCUUACUAGGGAGGGUGUGGGCGAGGGAUAGCAAAUCGAAAUCCUGCGAAAAUCUACACGUCCUGUAAACAAAUUAACAAAAGACAGGAUUCAAAACACGCUUCAGAAGAAGGCGAUUUGACACAGGCAAAUUUAAAGGAUACUACUUUAACAAAAAAAAAAAAGAAAAAGAAAACAAUCGUCUAUAAAAAUCAGAAGAAGAACAACCUGCAUACAUACCUAUUAUAUAAAAAUGAAAAGAAACACUGCCUUCGUUAAA